RNAcentral lists this ribosomal RNA (487 nucleotides) under Klebsiella pneumoniae. Its description in RNAcentral is "partial 23S ribosomal RNA". It matches the Rfam family "Bacterial large subunit ribosomal RNA", at positions 1205 to 1693 of the family's 2925-position model. The record is from RNAcentral. Lineage: Bacteria; Pseudomonadati; Pseudomonadota; Gammaproteobacteria; Enterobacterales; Enterobacteriaceae.
GCAGCGACACUAUGUGUUGUUGGGUAGGGGAGCGUUCUGUAAGCCUGCGAAGGUGACCUGUGAGGGUUGCUGGAGGUAUCAGAAGUGCGAAUGCUGACAUAAGUAACGAUAAAGCGGGUGAAAAGCCCGCUCGCCGGAAGACCAAGGGUUCCUGUCCAACGUUAAUCGGGGCAGGGUGAGUCGACCCCUAAGGCGAGGCCGAAAGGCGUAGUCGAUGGGAAACAGGUUAAUAUUCCUGUACUUGGUGUUACUGCGAAGGGGGGACGGAGAAGGCUAUGUUAGCCGGGCGACGGUUGUCCCGGUUUAAGCAUGUAGGCUGAUUGUCCAGGCAAAUCCGGAUAAUCAAGGCUGAGGUGUGAUGACGAGGCACUACGGUGCUGAAGUAACAAAUGCCCUGCUUCCAGGAAAAGCCUCUAAGCAUCAGGUAACAUUAAAUCGUACCCCAAACCGACACAGGUGGUCAGGUAGAGAAUACCAAGGCGCUUGA